RNAcentral lists this ribosomal RNA (492 nucleotides) under uncultured bacterium. RNAcentral describes it as "partial 16S ribosomal RNA". It matches the Rfam family "Bacterial small subunit ribosomal RNA", at positions 29 to 507 of the family's 1533-position model. The record is from RNAcentral.
AGUGAACGCUGGCGGUAGGCCUAACACAUGCAAGUCGAACGGCAGCACAGUAAGAGCUUGCUCUUACGGGUGGCGAGUGGCGGACGGGUGAGGAAUACAUCGGAAUCUACUUUUUCGUGGGGGAUAACGUAGGGAAACUUACGCUAAUACCGCAUACGACCUACGGGUGAAAGCAGGGGAUCUUCUGACCUUGCGCGAUUGAAUGAGCCGAUGUUGGAUUAGCUAGUUGGCGGGGUAAAGGCCCACCAAGGCGACGAUCCGUAGCUGGGCUGAGAGGAUGAUGAGCCACAAUGGAACAGAGAAACGGAACAGACUCCGAGGGGAGGGAGCAGUGGGGAAUAUUGGACAUGGGGCGGAAGCUUGAUCCAGCCAUACCGCGUCGAUGAAGAUGGUCUUCGUGUUGUAAAGCCCUUUUGUUGGGAAAGAAAAGCAGCAGGUUAAGACCCCGCUGUUCUGACGGUACCCAAAGAAUAAGCACCGGCUAACUUCGUG